UCGAACGGAGAUAAUUGAGUUUACUUGAUUAUCUUAGUGGCGGACGGGUGAGUAACACGUGAGCAACCUGCCUCUGAGAGAGGGAUAGCUUCUGGAAACGGAUGGUAAUACCUCAUAACAUAGCGGAACCGCAUGAUUCUGCUAUCAAAGAUUUAUUACUCAGAGAUGGGCUCGCGUCUGAUUAGCUAGUUGGUGAGGUAACGGCUCACCAAGGCGACGAUCAGUAGCCGGACUGAGAGGUUGAACGGCCACAUUGGGACUGAGACACGGCCCAGACUCCUACGGGAGGCAGCAGUGAGGGAUAUUGCACAAUGGAGGAAACUCUGAUGCAGCGAUGCCGCGUGGAGGAAGAAGGUUUUCGGAUUGUAAACUCCUGUUUCGAGGGACGAUAAUGACGGUACCUCGGGAGGAAGCUCCGGCUAACUACGUGCCAGCAGCCGCGGUAAUACGUAGGGAGCGAGCGUUGUCCGGAAUUACUGGGUGUAAAGGGAGCGCAGGCGGGAUUGCAAGUCAGGUGUGAAAUGCAGGGGCUCAACCCCUGAGCUGCACUUGAAACUGUAGUUCUUGAGUGAAGUAGAGGUAAGCGGAAUUCCUAGUGUAGCGGUGAAAUGCGUAGAUAUUAGGAGGAACGUCGGUGGCGAAGGCGGCUUACUGGGCUUUUACUGACGCUGAGGCUCGAAAGCGUGGGGAGCAAACAGGAUUAGAUACCCUGGUAGUCCACGCUGUAAACGAUGAUGACUAGGUGUGGGGGGACUGACCCCUUCCGUGCCGCAGUUAACACAAUAAGUCAUCCACCUGGGGAGUACGGCCGCAAGGUUGCAACUCAAAUGAAUUGACGGA
This 840-nucleotide ribosomal RNA is filed under the name uncultured Bacillota bacterium. RNAcentral describes it as "bacterial SSU rRNA". It matches the Rfam family "Bacterial small subunit ribosomal RNA", at positions 62 to 917 of the family's 1533-position model. The record is from RNAcentral. Lineage: Bacteria; Bacillati; Bacillota.